This 119-nucleotide ribosomal RNA is filed under the name Betta splendens (Siamese fighting fish). Lineage: Eukaryota; Metazoa; Chordata; Actinopteri; Anabantiformes; Osphronemidae. The record is from RNAcentral.
GCUUACGGCCAUACCACCCUGAGCACGCCCGAUCUCGUCUGAUCUCGGAGGCUAAGCAGGGUCGGGCCUGGUUAGUACUUGGAUGGGAGACCGCCUGGGAAUACCAGGUGCUGUAAGCG